GCCAGAGUGGCUCAGUGGUUGAGCGUUGACCUGUGAACCAGGAUGUCCUGGGUUCGAUUCCCAGUUGGGGCA
Molecule: transfer RNA, 72 nt
Filed under: Myotis lucifugus (little brown bat)
Lineage: Eukaryota; Metazoa; Chordata; Mammalia; Chiroptera; Vespertilionidae
Rfam family: tRNA
About the family: Transfer RNA (tRNA) molecules are approximately 80 nucleotides in length. Their secondary structure includes four short double-helical elements and three loops (D, anti-codon, and T loops).
Source: Rfam by way of RNAcentral